This is a long non-coding RNA of Neofelis nebulosa (Clouded leopard), 382 nucleotides long. RefSeq lists it as uncharacterized. The record is from RefSeq and is a predicted model, not a curated record. Lineage: Eukaryota; Metazoa; Chordata; Mammalia; Carnivora; Felidae. The transcript has 3 exons.
GUCUGUCCAUCUCCCACCGUCUGUUUGUCCCUGACCACACUGCCCUCUUCCUCGGGAUCCUAUUUCCUCGUUCAUUCCUGGAGGCAGAUGAGCCACACCAGAAGGCUGGAGACUAUGUACCACUUCUACCUUGACCCCACAGCCUCCAAGGGUUGACCAGAUGUCCUGAAGACCUCCAAGGACUGAAAUCCAUGGGAUCAUCCCAGGGCCCCGUGGUUGGACCUCUGCAGCAGACUCUCAGAGGUUGUCGGUGCAACAGGACUUGAGAGACGGGCAACUUAUCUUCAGCACGCAGUCCUUCAACUGGUCCAGUGAAGGCAUCUGUGUCCUCUUGGCAUUAGAGAGAUGGGGAGAGAGACACCAUUCUUCCCAGUGGCCUGGG